This 1666-nucleotide long non-coding RNA is filed under the name Nicotiana benthamiana. RNAcentral describes it as "long non-coding RNA (NBEN_LNC002756)". The record is from RNAcentral. Lineage: Eukaryota; Viridiplantae; Streptophyta; Magnoliopsida; Solanales; Solanaceae.
AAUGGGGUUCAAAUACACAAAAUGAUCGAUCAAAUCAUUACAUUAAGAGACUGCGCAAAAAUAAGUACUCAAAAUAUUCCAUUUAGGUAUGAAAAAUAAAUACUCCUACAUCCUAAGAAGAAGAAAACAAAUAAUGAUAAGUUACAAUUAGGUUAAACCAUAUUAAAUAGAAGAAUGUAUGGAAAAAUGAUUGCAUCUCAAAAUCAAAAGGAACUUCUUUGCUUUUGGAUUUGGCGACCAAGCAAGGGAAAAAGCUAGAUGUGAUAAUAUGAAGCCCAGAAUAAAAAUGGCCAGCUUCUAACAUUUUCAAAAGACAACUAUGGAACCAAUUCUUCUUACACUAUAAUGAUCAGGACACUUGCAAAUUGCAAAGAAGUUUAAAAGUCAAUUGCCAUAAAUUUAAUUCCUGGUUAAUCAAGGGAAAUGAGCCUUCCCUUUAUUUUCCACCCUCCUUCUCCAUCCCUUCCUUUUUAUAUAUGCCCUACGCAAAGCGACUUUUCAACUUGCAAAUUAAAGAACACGACUGUUACCACUAAGAUCGGCAGUUUAGAGCAUUUUUAAAAUAAAUAAAAAGAUGUAAAAGAGGCAAAAUAUAUGAUUGAAGGAAAAAUAGUUAACUUGAGACAGUCUCAUGAAAAUGCCAAACAUUAUAACAAACAACGGAGAGGACGAGUGAACUUAUCAUUACGAAAAAAAGUAUCGGAUGAUUCUAUUCCGAUUUAUUUUUCAUAUGUAUUUAUCCGUUAUAUACCCCUUCUUUUCUUUAAAAAAUUCAUAUGUAUAUCUUGCCUUAUGUAUUUUUCAAUUUCAAUUUGUUUUAUUUAGUGUACUUAGAAGAAGUUUUAAUGAUUAGUGCUAAUAAAUUCACUGGUAUUUAAAUAUUAACAGCGGUUAUAAGCUAGUACAUAAGCACCAUAUGCGUACAAUAUUAAAUAAGAUAGCCACCAGAAUUAUUUAAUAAGUGCCAAUAAAGAUAAGUACAUCGGUUUACAAACGAUUAUAUUUUUCAAAUUUAUAGCAACAAUAUUACGUAAUAAGACCAUUAGUAUACAUAGAUAUACUAAUUUGUGGAGCACGGAUACAACACAUAAUAAAACUUCUUCAAACAGAUCCCUUUGUGGAGCAGUUUUUUGCUUGACAAAUAGCCAUACAACUGCCGAACUUCUCUUUGUCUGGAAAUUUAAUAAAAUAUUGAUUAAGUUAGAUAUCGCCAAAUACAAGCGAAUAGUAUGAGUUAUGAGUUAUAAGCAAGGGUAUCAAAUAGGCAAGAUUAGGCUAAUUUUAGGCCAAUUAAAAUGGCUUGGGUCAUUAUCAUCCCCGUUUCUCGCAAAACCACGUAUACUUAGAAGGGGAUUCAGGAUUUGAUAUUUACGAGAGCACUCUUACAUUCAAUAUAAAUUAUAAGUAUGUAUGUGUGUUGUACUUAUAUGUAAUUCACGUUUUAUUUAUUUAUACUUUUCCAAUUCACUUAAUCACCAAAUCAAAAUGACAAAAGCUUUUUCUUUAAUAAUCAUAAUUUUAUCAAACAAGGUAAGCCCGUAAAAUUUAGGUUUUUGAUAUUUAUAUAAGUUUUCUUGUUGAGUAAUUUGGAUUAAAUAGGUUGCCGAAGCUGGGUCAAAUGUGUUAUGCUCAAGUUAAUAUAUAUAUAUAUAUAUAUAUAUAUAUA